RNAcentral lists this ribosomal RNA (1091 nucleotides) under Flaviporus americanus. Its description in RNAcentral is "eukaryotic LSU rRNA". It matches the Rfam family "Eukaryotic large subunit ribosomal RNA", at positions 1 to 1078 of the family's 3401-position model. The record is from RNAcentral. Lineage: Eukaryota; Fungi; Basidiomycota; Agaricomycetes; Polyporales; Steccherinaceae.
UCUGACCUCAAAUCAGGUAGGACUACCCGCUGAACUUAAGCAUAUCAAUAAGCGGAGGAAAAGAAACUAACAAGGAUUCCCCUAGUAACUGCGAGUGAAGCGGGAAAAGCUCAAAUUUAAAAUCUGGCAGCUUUGGUUGUCCGAGUUGUAGUCUGGAGAAGCGUUUUCUGUGCUGGACCGUGUACAAGUCUCUUGGAACAGAGCGUCGUAAAGGGUGAGAAUCCCGUCUUUGACACGGACUGCCAGUGCUUUGUGAUGCGCUCUCAAAGAGUCGAGUUGUUUGGGAAUGCAGCUCAAAAUGGGUGGUAAAUUCCAUCUAAAGCUAAAUAUUGGCGAGAGACCGAUAGCGAACAAGUACCGUGAGGGAAAGAUGAAAAGCACUUUGGAAAGAGAGUUAAACAGUACGUGAAAUUGCUGAAAGGGAAACGCUUGAAGUCAGUCGCGUUGGCCAGAACUCAGCCUGGCUUUUGCCUGGUGCAUUUUCUGGUUGACGGGCCAGCAUCAAUUUUGACCGCUGGAUAAAGGCCUUGGGAAUGUGGCACCUUCGGGUGUGUUAUAGCCCUUGGUUGUAUACAGUGGUUGGGAUUGAGGAUCUCAGCAUGCCUUUAUGGUCGGGGUUCGCCCACGUUCAUGCUUAGGAUGCUGGCGUAAUGGCUUUAAACGACCCGUCUUGAAACACGGACCAAGGAGUCUAACAUGCCUGCGAGUGUUUGGGUGGAAAACCCGAGCGCGUAAUGAAAGUGAAAGUUGGGAUCCCUGUCGUGGGGAGCACCGACGCCCGGACCAGACCUUCUGUGACGGCUCCGCGGUAGAGCAUGUAUGUUGGGACCCGAAAGAUGGUGAACUAUGCCUGAAUAGGGUGAAGCCAGAGGAAACUCUGGUGGAGGCUCGUAGCGAUUCUGACGUGCAAAUCGAUCGUCAAAUUUGGGUAUAGGGGCGAAAGACUAAUCGAACCAUCUAGUAGCUGGUUCCUGCCGAAGUUUCCCUCAGGAUAGCAGAAACUCAUGUCAGAUUUAUGUGGUAAAGCGAAUGAUUAGAGGCCUUGGGGUUGAAACAACCUUAACCUAUUCUCAAACUUUAAAUAUGUAAGA